UAGGCAUUUACAUAUGGCGUGCUUUGUUUCAAGAGGUUAUCAAGUUUCCAAUAGCUGCAAAUACAAAUCUGCAAGUUUUCACUUUUCACACACAUUCAUCUCUCUUAUUUCUCUCAUUUUAUUCCCUUAAAAUUUUAGAAACAAUCCUACACCAAAUCGUUGUAUUCUAGAUCAAGAUUUACAUGCCUAGUAUAUUUCCAAUGGCUUCCACAAGCACUUAAGGAGCCUCAUCUUCUUUUUCUUUUUCUUCUUCUUCAACAUCUCAGGGAAAAUAUGAUGUGUUUCUUAGUUUUAGAGGCAUGGAUACUCGUAAAAGUUUUACAGAUCAUCUAUAUACUGCUUUACAAAGGAAGGGCAUUUUAACCUUUAGGGAUGAUGAAGAACUUGAAAGAGGAAUAUACAUUUCACCUGAACUCUCAAAAGCAAUAGAAGGAUCAAGGUUUGCUAUAAUUAUUUUGUCAAGAAACUAUGUAUCUUCAACAUGGUGUUUGGUUGAGCUUACAAAGAUCAUCAAAUGCAUGAAAGAAAUGGGAAUGAAAGUCCUGCCUGUUUUUUAUGAUGUGGAUCCAUCUGAUGUACGGAAACAAACUGGAACUUUUGAAAAAGCUUUCAUUGACCAUGAAGAAUGUUUUAAAGAGAACAUAGAUUUGGUGAAAACGUGGAGAGCUGCUUUGACAGAAGUGGCCAAUCUCUCUGAUUGGCAUUUACAAGAUAGGCAUGAGUCAGAAUUUAUCCAACACAUUGUGGAAGUGAUAUUACAUAAACUGGGUUCAAGUUUCUCAAGCAUUACAACUAACUUGGUAGGAAUAGAUUCUUCAAUGGAGGAAUUGAUCACUUCUUAUUUAGGCCUUGGUAAUAAUGUUUGCAUGAUAGGGAUUUGUGGUAUGGGGGGGACUGGGAAAGACAACUCUUGCUAAAGUUGCUUUUGAUAGAUUCUCUAAUCAUUUUGAAGGUUCUAGCUUUGUCAUUAAUGUUAGGGAAGUAUCAGAGAAAGGUGGUUUGGUUCCAUUACAACAACAACUUAUUGAAGAAGUUUUGGAGGAUAGAAAUACAAAGAUACGGAAUGUUUAUCAUUGAAUUGAUAUGAUCAAGAAAAGGCUAUGUAAUAAAAAAGUUCUCAUUGUUCUAGAUGAUGUUAAUCAAUUGGACCAAUUAGAAAAAUUGGUUGGAGAUCAUGGUUGGUUUGGAUUGGGGAGCUGGAUCAUCAUAACAACUAGAGAUGAACAUUUGUUGGUCCAACAUGAAGUACAUAAAAUCUAUAAGCCUAAUGUAUUAAAUGAUCAUGAUGCUCUAAAACUUUUUUGUUUGAAAGCCUUCAAAAAAGAGCAACCCAAAGAAGGUUACAUGCAGCUCUCCCACAAUGUUGCAUACCAUGCUAAAGGCCUUCCAUUAGCUCUUGUAACUUUGGGUUCCUUUUUGGUUGGAAGAACGAUGGGUGAUUGGCAAAGUGCAUUGGACAGUUUCAAAAAAAAAAUCCUAAAAGAGAAAUAUUUGAUAUACUUAGAGUAAGUUAUGAUGGACUAGAAGAAAUGUGGAAGGAGAUUUUUUUGGAUAUUGCGUGUUUCUUUAGAGGGAAGAUGAAAGAUCGAGUAAUAGAGAUAUUAGAGAAUUGUGGUUUUGAUGCGAGAAUUGGUAUAAGUGUUCUCAUGGAUAAAUCUCUCCUAACCAUAGAAAACAAUAAGUUGUGGAUGCAUGAUCUACUACAAGAAAUGGGUAGAGAAAUCGUUCGUCUAGUGGAGAGCCUGGAAAGCAUAGCAGCCUGUGGCUUCGUAAGGAUUUGUUUCAUGUGUUGAAGAAAGAUACGGCAACAGAAGCAAUUCAAGCCAUAGUCAUAAACUCUUAUGAAUGUGAAGGAGGAUACCAGAACUUUGAAGCCUUUCCUAAAGGUUUUUCAAAGAUGCACAAUCUUAGAUUGCUUAUAAUUGAUUAUGUGCACAUCCUGAAUGGCCUUGAUCAUGUUUCUAAUGACCUAAGAUUUCUUCAAUGGAUUGGGUAUUCUUCAAAAUGUUUGUCAUCCAGUUUCCAACCAAAAGAGCUUUUUGAACUUAAUUUACAAUGUAGCAAACUUAAAUAUCUUUGGGAGGGUACAAAGGUCAUUUUCUUCAUUGAUGGGCUUUCUUUUAUUUAUUUAUUAUUUUCAUUAGGAGUUCUUUUAAUA
Molecule: RNA transcript, 2158 nt
Organism: Quercus robur (English oak)
Lineage: Eukaryota; Viridiplantae; Streptophyta; Magnoliopsida; Fagales; Fagaceae
Gene name: disease resistance protein RPV1-like
Exons: 3
Source: RefSeq, a predicted model, not a curated record